RNAcentral lists this ribosomal RNA (373 nucleotides) under uncultured organism. Its description in RNAcentral is "bacterial SSU rRNA". It matches the Rfam family "Bacterial small subunit ribosomal RNA", at positions 526 to 896 of the family's 1533-position model. The record is from RNAcentral.
CGUAGGGCGCAAGCGUUGUCCGGAAUUAUUGGGCGUAAAGAGCUCGUAGGCGGCUUGUCACGUCGGAUGUGAAAGCCCGGGGCUUAACCCCGGGUCUGCAUUCGAUACGGGCUAGCUAGAGUGUGGUAGGGGAGAUCGGAAUUCCUGGUGUAGCGGUGAAAUGCGCAGAUAUCAGGAGGAACACCGGUGGCGAAGGCGGAUCUCUGGGCCAUUACUGACGCUGAGGAGCGAAAGCGUGGGGAGCGAGCAGGGUUAGAUACCCUGGUAGUCCACGCCGUAAACGUUGGGAACUAGGUGUUGGCGACAUUCCACGUCGUCGGUGCCGCAGCUAACGCAUUAAGUUCCCCGCCUGGGGAGUACGGCCGCAAGGCUA